ACUUAAAUAAUUUAAAUUUUAAAAUAUUGAUUUGUGGGAUCAAACAUAUGAUAUUCAUUUUAAGUA
RNAcentral lists this transfer RNA (66 nucleotides) under Rybaxis sp. 1 EF-2015. RNAcentral's name for it is "tRNA-His". The record is from RNAcentral. Lineage: Eukaryota; Metazoa; Arthropoda; Insecta; Coleoptera; Staphylinidae.